CCGGUGUGAAAUGAAUCUCUCGGUCGUUCCCUGGUUUGAAGGAAAUCUCCGUGCGGCUGCUUUCCAUCAGCUGUGUGAGAAGCUGUGAAGGGCUUGCCCUGAGACACCAGCGGUUUGAUGAUCCAGACGGACCAAGCAAUAGAGCUGUGGCUGGUUGUGCUAUGGAGUGCAUCUAGAAGGGAUAUAUGCAACAUUGACCUCGCUUGCUUCAGAGGAAACCUUUGUUUCUAGAUGUCCACUCUUUACCCCUGCAGCAGACUGAAGUAUCAUUAUUAUCCCAAUUUUACCUACAAGAAAACCAACGCUGCACUGCCAAGUUCUGUGGCACUGCAGUGAUGGACGGGACCUCUUGCCUAGAUCUGAUGAACUCCUACUCAUCCUUCAAGACCUAACUCAGCUUUUGUUUCCUUCAAAUCCUUCUGAGUCUCCACCAA
Molecule: long non-coding RNA, 434 nt
Organism: Mesoplodon densirostris (Blainville's beaked whale)
Lineage: Eukaryota; Metazoa; Chordata; Mammalia; Artiodactyla; Ziphiidae
Exons: 3
Source: RefSeq, a predicted model, not a curated record